CCCUUAGAUGUCCUGGGCCGCACGCGCGCUACACUGAUGCAUUCAACGAGUUUUACCUUGGCCGAGAGGCCUGGGCAAUCUUUUAAACCUGCAUCGUGAUAGGGAUAGAUUAUUGCAAUUAUUAAUCUUGAACGGGGAAUUCCUAGUAAACGCAGAUCAUCAAUCUGCAUUGAUUACGUCCCUGCCCUUUGUACACACCGCCCGUCGCACCUACCGAUUGAAUGGUCCGGUGAAGCCUCGGGAUUGUGGCCAGUUCACUUUAUUGGGAGUUGGCUGCGAGAACUUGUCUAAACCUUAUCAUUUAGAGGAAGGUGAAGUCGUAACA
RNAcentral lists this ribosomal RNA (325 nucleotides) under uncultured eukaryote. Its description in RNAcentral is "partial 18S ribosomal RNA". It matches the Rfam family "Eukaryotic small subunit ribosomal RNA", at positions 1470 to 1796 of the family's 1831-position model. The record is from RNAcentral.